This 487-nucleotide ribosomal RNA is filed under the name uncultured bacterium. RNAcentral describes it as "bacterial SSU rRNA". It matches the Rfam family "Bacterial small subunit ribosomal RNA", at positions 19 to 518 of the family's 1533-position model. The record is from RNAcentral.
CUGGCUCAGGAUGAACGCUGGCGGCGUGCUUAACACAUGCAAGUCGAACGGAGUUAUAUGAACCUAGUGAUUAUAAACUUAGUGGCGGACGGGUGAGUAACGCGUGGGUAACCUGCCUUAUACCGGGGGACAACAGUUAGAAAUGACUGCUAAUACCGCAUAAGCGCACGGUGUCGCAUGACACAGUGUGAAAAACUCCGGUGGUAUAAGAUGGACCCGCGUCUGAUUAGCCAGUUGGUGAGGUAACGGCCCACCAAAGCAACGAUCAGUAGCCGGCCUGAGAGGGUGAACGGCCACAUUGGGACUGAGACACGGCCCAAACUCCUACGGGAGGCAGCAGUGGGGAAUAUUGGACAAUGGGGGAAACCCUGAUCCAAGCGACGCCGCGUGAGUGAAGAAGUAUUUCGGUAUGUAAAGCUCUAUCAGCAAGGAAGAUAAUGACGGUACUUGACUAAGAAGCCCCGGCUAACUACGUGCCAGCAGCCGC